RNAcentral lists this ribosomal RNA (274 nucleotides) under uncultured bacterium. RNAcentral describes it as "partial 16S ribosomal RNA". It matches the Rfam family "Bacterial small subunit ribosomal RNA", at positions 523 to 796 of the family's 1533-position model. The record is from RNAcentral.
AUACGGAGGGUCCAAGCGUUAUCCGGAAUCAUUGGGUUUAAAGGGUGCGCAGGCGGUUUAUUAAGUCAGUGGUGAAAUCUCGGGGCUCAACUCCGAGACUGCCAUUGAUACUGAUAAACUUGAGUUCAGUUGGAGUAGGCGGAAUGUGUAGUGUAGCGGUGAAAUGCUUAGAUAUUACACAGAACACCGAUAGCGAAGGCAGCUUACUAAACUGAUACUGACGCUGAGGCACGAAAGCGUGGGGAGCGAACAGGAUUAGAAACCCUAGUAGUCC